RNAcentral lists this ribosomal RNA (489 nucleotides) under uncultured Lactobacillus sp. RNAcentral's name for it is "partial 16S ribosomal RNA". The record is from RNAcentral. Lineage: Bacteria; Bacillati; Bacillota; Bacilli; Lactobacillales; Lactobacillaceae.
CACGUAGUUAGCCGUGACUUUCUAAGUAAUUACCGUCAAAUAAAGGCCAGUUACUACCUCUAUCUUUCUUCACUACCAACAGAGCUUUACGAGCCGAAACCCUUCUUCACUCACGCGGCGUUGCUCCAUCAGACUUUCGUUCCAUUGUGGAAGAUUCCCUACUGCUGCCUCCCGUAGGAGUUUGGGCCGUGUCUCAGUCCCAAUGUGGCCGAUCAGUCUCUCAACUCGGCUAUGCAUCAUUGCCUUGGUAAGCCGUUACCUUACCAACUAGCUAAUGCACCGCAGGUCCAUCCAAGAGUGAUAGCAGAACCAUCUUUCAAACUCUAGACAUGCGUCUAGUGUUGUUAUCCGGUAUAGCAUCUGUUUCCAGGUGUUAUCCCAGUCUCUUGGCAGGUUACCCACGUGUUACUCACCGUCCGCCGCUCGCUUGUAUCUAGUUCAUUUAGUGUCAAGCACCUAAAAUCAUCUAGGCAAGCUGCUCGACUUGCU